Molecule: ribosomal RNA, 450 nt
Filed under: uncultured bacterium
Lineage: Bacteria
Description: SSU rRNA
Rfam family: Bacterial small subunit ribosomal RNA
Source: RNAcentral
AGGAUGAACGCUGGCGGUCUGCUUAACACAUGCAAGUCGAACGGAGUAGAAAUACUUAGUGGCGGACGGGUGAGUAACGCGUGAGAAUCUACCUUCAGGACGGAGACAACAGUUGGAAACGACUGCUAACCCCCGAUGUACUGAAAAGGCAAAUAUUUAUAGCCUGAAGAAGAGCUCGCGUCCGAUUAGCUAGUUGGAGAGGUAAAAGCUCACCAAGGCGACGAUCGGUAGCUGGUCUGAGAGGACGAUCAGCCACACUGGGACUGAGACACGGCCCAGACUCCUACGGGAGGCAGCAGUGGGAAUUUCGCAAUGGGCGAAAGCCUGACGGAGCAAGACCGCGUGGGGGAAGAAGGGCUCUUGGGGUUGUAAACCCCCUUUUUCGUCUGGGAAGAACGCAAUGACGGUACCAGAGGAAUCAGCAUCGGCUAACUCCGUGCCAGCAGCCGC